This is a long non-coding RNA of Vidua macroura (Pin-tailed whydah), 174 nucleotides long. RefSeq lists it as uncharacterized. The record is from RefSeq and is a predicted model, not a curated record. NCBI's taxonomy places the organism in Eukaryota, Metazoa, Chordata, Aves, Passeriformes, Viduidae. The transcript is spliced from 3 exons.
GCAUCGGCCUCCGGGCGCGGCCAGAUGAGGCGGACGUUCUUAGGAGAAUGCUGAGCAAGGGGCCACAGUCGGUGACUCUAGGAAACUGCCAGCGGGCGAGGCGGCCUUCCUCGGCACCGGACAUGCAGCCAGAUGGAAUCCGUGGCAGAGGGCCCCGUCCCGGGUGAGGGGGGU